GUGAAAUUGUUGAAAGGGAAACGAUUGAAGUCAGUCAUGCUAGUGAAGAUUCAGUUUGGCGGAUUUCGAAUUUAAGAGUAGAGGCAGGGUCAAACCGCCUCUACUUUUAAAUUCGGGAUCCGCCGGAUGCACUUUUUCUUUGGCAGGUCAGCGUCGAUUUCGGAGGUUGUAAAAUACUUGGGGGAAAGUAGCUCUGCUUCGGGAGAGUGUUAUAGACCCCGGGGGAUGCGGCCUGCGGGACCGAGGAUUGCAGCAAAUGCUAUUGGCUUGUCGCCUGAUCUCUGGAUGUUACCCUGCUUGUGACAACAUUCUUGCCACUGGUGGGUACUAAUGCCUAUUAGGUUAGAGCGAUCAAAAAUUUUGCUAAGGAUGCUGACGUAAUGGCUUUAAACGAC
RNAcentral lists this ribosomal RNA (395 nucleotides) under uncultured Diversispora. RNAcentral describes it as "partial 28S ribosomal RNA". Lineage: Eukaryota; Fungi; Glomeromycota; Glomeromycetes; Diversisporales; Diversisporaceae. The record is from RNAcentral.